GCACCCGCGACUGGUCGAACACCAGUGAUCCAUCGGUUCUACCCAUAUUAUCAGGCACAUGAAUCUCUCUCUACCAUACAAUCUCGACCUGUUACUUCUUCCUCUGACGAAUUUUCAUUCAUAUCCUGACCGAGCCUCCUGAAUGAAACAUGUAAAAUACACGUCACGUGGAGACAUCUUUGCACGAUUUACCUACAAUCGAUAAAACACGUGUUACAUAUAACAUGAUUGUAAAUCGAAGCACUGUAUACAGUGCCAUCUAUAAAUAAUAUACAGAUCGGAACAUGGUAUUUUAUGCGUUUCAACGAGAGGAGUUAAGUUAAGCAACGCCACGCGUGCCAACCGUCAUCAAUCGAAACGUCCGAUUCAUUCACGUAAAUGGAGAUGAAACGUUGGUUGUACUUGUUGUACUCUGAUCCUGGAAUAUCGUAUUCUCGGAUGAAAAAUGAUUCGCCUCGCGUGAGAGCGAUUAACUAAAAACGUAAAACGGCUGCGACACGAAGAAAUUGCUCAAGGUUCUGGGAACGCGAAAGAAAACGAAGAAACGUGGCUGGUGUUACGGAAGCUUAAUCGUUCAAGGACGAUCCUGGCCUUUCAAUAUUUACGCUUAGUCGCGGCUUAAGGACAAAUCUAAGGUAUCGAGCAACGACAACGUUUAAACUCGGAUCGUGUUCAGGGAAAGAGAGUGGAAAGAACGGCGGCGGGGGAGGGGAAGGCUGAUCGAGUCGCCUAUACUCUCUUGGCAUUCGAAACGCGUUACUUUCAUUUCUAACAAGUAGCCAUUCAAGGGCCACGCACUGAUUGUGAGACGUUGGCAGUCACACGCGUGUCCAUGUGCGUACAGGAGAGAGAUAUGGUUGAUCGAUGGCUCUUUCCUUUCCCGAGAUCCCCAUCUCGAGGAUCCAACCGUGCAAAAAGGAAAAGAAGAAGAAGAAAAAAAAA
This is a long non-coding RNA of Apis florea (little honeybee), 942 nucleotides long. NCBI's taxonomy places the organism in Eukaryota, Metazoa, Arthropoda, Insecta, Hymenoptera, Apidae. The record is from RefSeq and is a predicted model, not a curated record.